CUUCCUUUUUGCUGUAUUUUUUUUCAUGUACUCACUCUCUUCCACAGACAGACUGCGGAACUGCCCAUGAGGCCAAGCACCUAUUAGUAGACCAAGAAGCAUCACCCAUCCAUGGCCUAAGUCGGCAGCCAGCUAUUGUUCUCAUCUGAGUCUGGGAGUUCAGGAUUUCCAUCCUGACCCGGCUACUUUCUUUCAACAGUUACCCACUGUAAAUUUCCGAAUACUUUCAGCUACUAAUCCCAGUGUACCCAAUUAAAAAUGGCUUUCCUAAUAAAGGCA
RNAcentral lists this long non-coding RNA (279 nucleotides) under Homo sapiens (human). Its description in RNAcentral is "non-protein coding lnc-IL4R-2:21". Lineage: Eukaryota; Metazoa; Chordata; Mammalia; Primates; Hominidae. The record is from RNAcentral.